Molecule: small RNA, 413 nt
Filed under: Pongo abelii (Sumatran orangutan)
Lineage: Eukaryota; Metazoa; Chordata; Mammalia; Primates; Hominidae
Description: processed transcript
Source: RNAcentral
CGGAAAAGGAGUAAAAACACAUUGGGGAGAUCAUGCCUAAAAAUAAUAUAUUCAAAACCACCCAGCAGUAGGUUUUGUUAACAACAAACUGGGUUUUAAAAGUUCUGCCAUGUUAAGUGGCCAGCAUUUCAUGAAGGAUAACAUUUUUAUACAGAAGGCAGUCAAGCUCAACUCAGAGCCAUGGAGGCUGGUGACGGGAGUUUGGCAUCUGAUACACCACACGCAAGUCCCUGUUGGCUGCACACCAUCUACCAUGCUGUUCCCUUCUUGGGUCCAUCAGCUAGGAAAAGCCACAUGUUCUAGCAGGAGUUGCAAGGGUAUAUUUCGUAUACUGCCCUUGCAAAAUCUCUCAUUAAAAACGGUUAAACCCCAGGACUUGGCAGAGCUUACAAUAAACAUUUGAAUAAUUGGAA